This 141-nucleotide ribosomal RNA is filed under the name uncultured eukaryote. RNAcentral describes it as "partial 18S ribosomal RNA". It matches the Rfam family "Eukaryotic small subunit ribosomal RNA", at positions 1299 to 1458 of the family's 1831-position model. The record is from RNAcentral.
UGGUGGAGCGAUUUGUCUGGUCUAUUCCGUUAACGAACGAGACCUCGGCCUGCUAAAUAGUUCGGUUCACUCUUCGGAGUGGGCUGGGGCUUCUUAGAGGGACUAUCGGUGUGGAGCCGAUGGAAGUUCGAGGCAAUAACA